RNAcentral lists this long non-coding RNA (1838 nucleotides) under Olea europaea subsp. europaea. The record is from RNAcentral. Lineage: Eukaryota; Viridiplantae; Streptophyta; Magnoliopsida; Lamiales; Oleaceae.
CACACUUGCUCAAUUUACAUAUCUGGUUUUGCUACAGUUUAUUGGUCUCCAAAAUGAGCCACGUUUUCUUUUUGAGACCGCAUAUUCUGCGUCUUCUUGCUUUUGUAUUGUCUCACAUCCACCUCCUCUCGUGAUGAAUAAUUAAUGUAGUUGAUUUUUUUGACUUAUUGAAGUGUAGUUGAUUUUGUUGACUUCUUGAAAUCUGAAAACCUGCAUUCCCGAGGUAUAUAGCAAAGUUAUUAGAUGAUCGUCCUUUUUCCCACAUAAUUGAGAUAUCAAAAGUAACAUUAUACCCUCUAUUUAAUAAACAAUUUGGCACAAUUACCCUUCACUUUCUAACUACACACUAAUUUCCAUACCUAUAUUAAUGUUAAGGGUGAUAUGGGAAUUAAAAAAUAUAGUUGUCCAAACAUUAAUGAAUGGGACCCACAUUUGAAGUAAAAUGUCGUGUGCUGUUUAUUUUUUUUUCCUACCACAUAAAUUUCGCACAAUACUCUUCUAUCAAUUCAAUCCUUCUCUUUCUAAAUUCUAGCCAUUGUUUUGCAGAACGAAUUCUCCCCAAAAUCUUGUUUUCUCUGGAAAAAAAAAGGGCGUCCUUCUACCAUUAUUCGCUUUUGCCUUUAGCCUAAUUCGUAUUUUCUCGUCAUCAAUAGUGGAGAAGAAAAUUCUAGAAGUUGCAACAAUUAUUUUGGGUAUGUUCUUCUUAUAAUUUUUCUUUUUUGUGUAUUUCUUUUUUUAUUUUCUUACUAUUUAUUUAAGGUACGUAGUCUUUCUUUGUUUGUAGAUGAAAAUCUAGUUGGGUUCGUCUUCCUUUAGCUCCAUAUAAGGUAUGUUCUCGUUUCUGUACAUGCAUGAAAAUAUAUCCACGUUUACAUAUUCAUGGUUCAUGAGGUUGAAGGUCAUGAAUUUUCGCCGUUUCGAAGCUAGUGAGGAAUCAACUAUCAUCAUUCAUAGCCAACUUCAACAAUUUCAAAUCACUAUUUCACUCCAUUUUUCAUUCACUGUAGAAGAAAAUGAAAUUGCACUGGACGCAAAAAUAAAAUGUUAAUAGAGGGUGAAAAUUAUAUGGAUGUGUACAUACACAUUUACAUACAUACAUGUUUACGUGUGUGAGGAGAGGGGAUUACUUUUCUUUCUUUACUUUCUUAAAAGAGAGGCUUUCUUUACUAUUCAUUCAUGUCACACUGAUUUUCACACAUUGUAAAGUUAUUAAAAAAAAAGGGGGGGGGGAAGUCAAAGUCGGCCAAACCAAGUAAUAAAAAAUAAAAAUAUCAAGUUUUAUCCUUAUCUUUGUAUGAGUAUAAAUACAUCCAUAUCCAUUGCCAUAGAAAUAUUUCCUUCAUUUUACAACACACUUAUACACUUAAAAAGAAGGCAAAAACCGAAAUCAAGAAAGGAAAGGAGAAGGAAGAAAGUUUAGCACUUUCAAUUCAUUUCAAUCAAAGAUCUUCAAGUUUUACGGUAAGAUACCUUCUAUGCUUAUGUGGUAUGAUUUUCAUGGUAAUAUUUAUGCUUAAGUUAUGCAUGAAAAACCAAAGUAUGUUAAUGGUGGAGAAAUCCACAAAUGUUAUGAUUAUGGUGGAGAAAUCCACAAAUGUUAGAUAUAUCUAUGCCUUAGGACAAGUCCGAAGGGCACCGGCAUGUCGGAAUAUGGAAGUAUGGGUUUGAUUGCUUUCUUUGGUGUAGUAUUAUCAUGAUAAAUGUUCAAGCAUGGUAUCUUACUGAGUAUUUCCUUAUACUCAAAGUAUGUUAUGCUAAACUUUUCAGAUCCAUGAUCAUUUGAAUUGAUGGAAGUUAGUUGGCUUACGCGAUGAUGGAUUAAGGACAACGAAGUUUUG